This 315-nucleotide ribosomal RNA is filed under the name uncultured bacterium. RNAcentral's name for it is "bacterial SSU rRNA". It matches the Rfam family "Bacterial small subunit ribosomal RNA", at positions 172 to 507 of the family's 1533-position model. The record is from RNAcentral.
CAUAAUGUAUUCGGAGGGCAUCCCUCUGAAUACCAAAGCUUAAUGUGCUGAGAGAUGGUCUCGCGUCUGAUUAGCUAGAUGGCGGGUAACGGCCACCAUGGCGACGAUCAGUAGCCGGUCUGAGAGGAUGAACGGCCACAUUGGGACUGAGAUACGGCCCAGACUCCUACGGGAGGCAGCAGUGGGGAAUAUUGGGCAAUGGGGAAACCUGACCCAGCAACGCCGCGUGAGUGAAGAAGUAUUUCGGUAUGUAAAGCUCUAUCAGCAGGGAAGAAAAUGACGGUACCUGACUAAGAAGCACCGGCUAAAUACGUG